UUUUUUCACUCUUCACCCACAUAUACACACACAUAUUCAUGAAAACUAACCAGUUAUUUGCAACAUUUUGAAUCUAGUUUUAGGAAGAAAUGUAUCUGUGUGAUUGUUAUUGCCUAGUUAUUUAUAUCAUAGGGUUUAUAAAAGGUUCCACUAAGUAAUGAAAUGUUAGAUGGCUUGUCUGAUUUAAAUAACCAAACUUUAAAAGGAGCUUAUUCAUUAUUAUAUAUAAAGCAAUUUUCCAAGAGCACAGCUGUGCAAUUUUAUUCCAUUGAAACCUCCUCCCACUUAGCAAAAUAUUUAGAUAUGUAGACAUAUAGAUAGAGAAUUAUAAUAGGGCAGAGAGGAAAUAGACAAUGAUUAAAGGAUAAAUUCCAUUUGCCACAACAUAUUUUCAUGAUUUCCCCCCCAUGAAUCUACUGCCUUUGGGGUGUUUGGUGGCUAAAAUAGCAGUGAGAGCUUGUUGUCGCUGAAGCAUGUUGUUGCAAAUGCUUUAUGCCCUGCCUUUCUCCCAGUGACUCUCUUGCUUUCUUUCCUAAUGGUACCAUCUGCCACUCAUAGAACUGUCGCAGAAAACACAGAGAUCUGAUCAAAGGUCAUUGGUAUUGAUAGCGCUUACUUAGCAGGUGCCUCUGCAAUCAGUUUUAAUGAGUUUGAGCCCUACUUAUUUCUCCUCCUGCUACUGGUCUAUUGAAAAAAAAAAAUAGUUGGCAGAGGUGUCAAUGACACCACAGGCACAAACUUCCUUGAUAAGCUUUGAUUUAAAGAGCCAAGAGGCAAAACCCAAAGUAACUCCUGAUGCGUGUGUUCCUGUGACAGAGGCAGUUAGAGGAGGCUUAGGAAACUCAUCUUUGAGUGAUAGUGAAGACUCAGUACGGCAUUGGCCUCAUCGUUAUUCCACAAGGCUCACCUGCAAAGUGUAUCCGCAAGGUGCAAUUUGAAGUGAUUAUUUUAAUCACAAAGUUUCAAAUGGGAGCAACAUGAGAGAUCACCACCCAAAUUUUCAGAUGUUCAAUGCCAUUUUCAGGUCAGGAAUCCAAGCGCGGCUCAGCUGCUGGUUCCGGCUCAGCGCCUCCACUCGGCUCGCACUGAAGAUGUGGGCCAAUGUUGCAGUUAUCUGGAGGUCUGGCUAAGCUGGUGAUCCACUUUAAGUGCACUUAUGUGACCAGUGGCUGGGGACUUCGGUUCCUCACUGCAAAGGUAUCUCCAUAGGACUGUUCGUAAUACAGCAGCUGGCUUCUUUAAGAACAAAGGGAGCAGGAGCGAGAGACAGUCCAUGAAAAAAAGCUGCAUUGCCUUUUAUAAUCUAAUAGUGGAGGUGACACGCCAUCAUUUCUGCCAUGUUUUAUUGGUCACACAGACCAACUCUGGUACAAUGUAGGAAGGGAUUAAACAGGGAAGUAACACCAGAAUAUGGAAACAUUGCGGGGGGUGGCGGGGGGGGGAGGUCCUCUGAGAGACUGCUACCACCUGUGGUUUUCAUAAUACCAAAUAUGGAAAAGUUUUACUAUUUUAAUUUGCAACAGCUAACAAAGUCAGUGGAUGAAAAUAGGGUUUUUCUCUGUCAAUGAAAUAAAAUUGUUUAAAAAUUGUUACUAUGUUGCCUUCUUAAUUGAUUAAAUUGCUUUAAGCAGUUAUAGGUCACCUUCUGAAUCUCAUAUUGGUGUGCCCUUCUGUGCAGUCCUAGUGAAAGUUUCUCUUUCAGCUUGUUAAAAAACAUUUCUUCUUGUUAUAAAAAUCAUAUGGGGCUAUAUUAGUUUUCUGUUCCUGAUAUGAUUUAUUACAUAAACUUAGUAGCUUCAAACAAUAUCAUUUUUUCUCACAGUGUCUAUGGUUUGGACCUGAUGGGGGCCUCACCUUAUGCUUUCAGAGGAUUGGACUCAAGGUGCUGGCUGAGUUGCAUUCCUUACAAGAGACCCUGAAGAGGAAUUUUCUUCCACUGAUAUUCAGAUUCUUCUAGGCAUCCGGUGUCUUCAGAGAUAAGGAUAUUAAUGAGGGCCUGACAACCCUCAUUCAGAUGAAGGAUUAUUGGUGUCAGUUCGGUGCCUUUGAAGUUAAAGAAAACCUCAUCUGAUGAUAAAAUUCUUGAGACAUUCUUUCCUUCAGAUCUUUGUUGACAUUGAUCUCCUGUCUACAGGAAUUUAGUAUUGUGGUGGAGAAGACAAAGCCAAGAUAAUAUUGGUCUUUUUAGGUGAUUCGUUUUUCUGCUUAAUUGCUCAUAGUUUAGCCUUGAAAUUAAAUGACUUCACCAGAAUUGACUUUAUCAGUCUUUGUUUUGUUUUUGUUUUUCCAAACUGGAAAUGAAAGCUCUUUAGAUCUGUAGACUUGCAUUGUGAAUUCAGAAAACAUUUCUUCUAAUAUAUUUGAACAGGUAUCUUUUUUCUUCUCCCUUUUCAGCUUUAUUCUUCAGAAGAACCCAUUUUUGUAUGUUGGAUCUCUUUUAUCUAGUGUCCAAUCAUUGUAAUUUCUAUGUACCAUUGUUUAUUUCACUUCAUUUUAUAUAAUUUUCUCAAAUCUGCCUCUACAACCUGAUGAUCUAAUGUUUUGUUUACUGAAAUAUAUCUUUCACCUCUAUAAUGGUAUUAUUUUUCCCUUUUCAAUCUUUCUUACAGUCUACCAGCUCACUUUUAUUUUUUGUGGUAUAAUUUACAUGAAAAAAAGUCAGCCAUUACUGUUGUAUGAGUGUUAAAAAAUGUAUAAAUGUGUGUUACCACCACUACACACAGCAAAAGACAGAAUCAUCUUGAGCACAUUCAAAGUUCCUAUGAACCCCUUUGUAGGCAAUCUACUUUCCCAUCCUAAGGCCUUGGCAACCACUAAACUUUUUUGAUUAGAUAGUUUUGUUUUUUCCAAAAUACCACAUAAAUGAAAUGGUACAGAAUAUGAUGUUGAGUCUUGUUUCUUUUACUUAGCAUACUACAUUUUUAAUACAACAAUAUUGCUUUGUUCAGCAAUAUUGUUCUUCUUUAAUAUCUGUUCUUCUUUAAUGCUGAAUAAUAUUCCAUUGCAUGAAUGUAACAGUUGUUCGUUUAAUCCACUCAUCAACUGAAGGACAUUUAGAUUAUUGCCAUUUGUUGGUGAUUAUGAAUAAAGCCUUAAAAACAUGCAGUGCACAUACAGCUUUUCGUGUGAAUAUGACUUUUUAUCUUUGUCAUAUAAUGAAUAGUGAGAUUGUUAAACUCUAUGCUAAAUGUAACUUUAUCUAUAUAUAUAAAAUUUUUAUAAAGCUUUUAAAUAAGAGUUAGGAGAUAUACCUAAUGCUAAAUGACGAGUUAAUGGAUGCAGCACACCAGCAUGGCACAUGUAUACAUAUGUAACUAACCUGCACAUUGUGCACAUGUACCCUAAAACUAUAUAAUAAUAAUAAAAUAAUUUAAAAAAAAGAGUUUGUAAAACUUUAUACAAACUACUAAACUCUUUUCCUGAGUGGUCAAACCAUUCUGCAUUUUCACCAGCAAUGUAUGAGCCCGUCAUUUCACAUUCUCACCAGCAGCUGGUAUUGUCAGUUUUUAGAACUCCAUCGUAAUUGGUGUAUAGUGGUAUCUCAUUGUAGUUUUAAGUUGUAUUUCCUUAAUGACUAACCAUGUUGAUUUUCUUUUUAUGUGUUUAUUUGCUCUCUACAUACGUAUCUCAUCUUUGGUUAAAUGUCUGUUCAAAUCCUUUUCCCAUUGCUUUUACCUGGAUAUUUGAUUUCGUAUCGUUUAUGUUUGAGUGUUCUCUGUAUAGUCUGAAUAUAUAUGCAGAGGUAUUUUCCAUGAAUAUUUUCUCAAAAUUUAUGUAUUUACUUUUCCUUCUAUUAACAAUGUUGUUCAAAGAACAGCAGGUUUUAAGUGUGAUGAUGUCUAAAUAUUAUUUUUUCUUCCAUUUAUCAUAUUUUUGGUGUCAUAUCUAAAAACUAUUUGCCUUCUUCAAUGUCAAAAAUACCAUUUUCUCUGUUUCCUUUUGGAUGUUUUAUAGUUUUAGGCUUUACGUUUUGGUGUAUAAUUCCUUGGAGUUAAUUUUUGUAUUUGAUGCGGGUAUAGGAAAAUGUUCUUUGCCUUAUUUAUUUUAUUUUAUUUUUUUUUUGAGACGGAGUCUUGCUCUGUCACCCAGGCUGGAGUGCAGUGGCGAUCUCCGCUCACUGUAACCUCUGCCUCCUGGGUUCAAGUGAUUCUCCUCCCUCAGUCUUUCCAGUAGCUGGGAUUACAGGCACGUGCCACCACGCCCUGCUAAUUUUUUUUAUUUUUAGUAGAGACGGAGUUUUACCGUGUUAGCCAGGAUGAUCUCGAUCUCCUGACCUCGUGAUCCGCCUGCCUCGACCUCCCAAAGUGCUGGGAUUACAGGAAUGAGACACCACGCCCAGCCAGUUAUUUGUCUUUAGUUGCAUGUAGACGUCCAAUUGUUCCAGCUCCUUCUGUUGAAAAGACUCUUUUUAUAUAUAAUUACUUUUUUUCACCUUUUUCACCUUUUUCACCUUUGUCUUUUUGAAUUUCUUUCAUCAGUGUUUUAUAGUUUUCACCACAGAGGUCUUGUGCAUAUUUUGAUAGAUUUUUUAUUUAAAUAUUUCAUUUUG
This 4549-nucleotide long non-coding RNA is filed under the name Homo sapiens (human). RNAcentral's name for it is "HSALNT0036765". Lineage: Eukaryota; Metazoa; Chordata; Mammalia; Primates; Hominidae. The record is from RNAcentral.